CCUACGGGUGGCAGCAGUGGGGAAUAUUGGACAAUGGGCGAAAGCCUGAUCCAGCCAUGCCGCGUGUGUGAAGAAGGCCUUCGGGUUGUAAAGCACUUUCAGUGGGGAAGAAAGCCUUGGGGCUAAUACCCUCGAGGAAGGACAUCACCCACAGAAGAAGCACCGGCUAACUCCGUGCCAGCAGCCGCGGUAAUACGGAGGGUGCGAGCGUUAAUCGGAAUUACUGGGCGUAAAGCGCGCGUAGGCGGUCUGAUAAGCCGGUUGGGAAAGCCCCGGGCUCAACCUGGGAACGGCAUCCGGAACUGUCAGGCUAGAGUGCAGGAGAGGAAGGUAGAAUUCCCGGUGUAGCGGUGAAAUGCGUAGAGAUCGGGAGGAAUACCAGUGGCGAAGGCGGCCUUCUGGACUGACACUGACGCUGAGGUGCGAAAGCGUGGGUAGCAAACAGGGUUAGAUACCCUAGUAGUC
RNAcentral lists this ribosomal RNA (465 nucleotides) under Vreelandella stevensii. RNAcentral's name for it is "partial 16S ribosomal RNA". It matches the Rfam family "Bacterial small subunit ribosomal RNA", at positions 338 to 795 of the family's 1533-position model. The record is from RNAcentral. Lineage: Bacteria; Pseudomonadati; Pseudomonadota; Gammaproteobacteria; Oceanospirillales; Halomonadaceae.